CGAACGCUGGCGGCGUGCUUAACACAUGCAAGUCGAACGAGACGAUUGAAAGCUUGCUUUGAGAGUCGAGUGGCAAACGGGUGAGUAACGCGUAGACAACCUGCCGCAAAGAUGGGGACAACAGUCCGAAAGGACUGCUAAUACCGAAUGUUGUCAAGUUUCCGCAUGGGAGCUUGAUUAAAGAUGGCCUCUACUUGUAAGCUAUCGCUUUGCGAUGGGUCUGCGUCUGAUUAGCUGGUUGGUGGGGUAACGGCCUACCAAGGCGACGAUCAGUAGCCGGUCUGAGAGGAUGAACGGCCACAUUGGAACUGAGACACGGUCCAGACUCCUACGGGAGGCAGCAGUGGGGAAUCUUCCGCAAUGGGCGAAAGCCUGACGGAGCAACGCCGCGUGAGUGAAGAAAGGGUUUCGGCUCGUAAAGCUCUGUUGAUGGGGACGAAUGUGCGAAAUGCGAAUAGUUUUUCGCAAUGACGGUACCCGUCGAGGAAGCCACGGCUAACUACGUGCCAGCAGCCGC
This 517-nucleotide ribosomal RNA is filed under the name uncultured bacterium. RNAcentral's name for it is "bacterial SSU rRNA". It matches the Rfam family "Bacterial small subunit ribosomal RNA", at positions 30 to 518 of the family's 1533-position model. The record is from RNAcentral.